UACGUAGGGACCGAGCGUUGUCCGGCUUCAUUGGGCGUAAAGAGCUCGUAGGCGGCCACUCAAGUCGAAUGUGAAACCUCGAGGCUCAACCUCGAGCCUGCAUUCGAUACUGGGCGGCUAGAGUCUGGUAGGGGGAUCUGGAAUUCCUGGUGUAGCGGUGGAAUGCGCAGAUAUCAGGAGGAACACCGGUGGCGAAGGCGGGUCUCUGGGCCACUACUGACGCUGAGAAGCGAAAGCAUGGGGAGCGAACAGG
Molecule: ribosomal RNA, 253 nt
Filed under: uncultured bacterium
Lineage: Bacteria
Description: partial 16S ribosomal RNA
Rfam family: Bacterial small subunit ribosomal RNA
Source: RNAcentral